This 125-nucleotide long non-coding RNA is filed under the name Gadus morhua (Atlantic cod). RNAcentral describes it as "lncRNA (ENSGMOG00000022650.1)". The record is from RNAcentral. Lineage: Eukaryota; Metazoa; Chordata; Actinopteri; Gadiformes; Gadidae.
CCAUAGAGCAGAUUAGAUACUGGCUAUGUAAAAUAUGAUUUGCAGCUUUAAUUACUGUUGCGCUACAACGUGAUUAGGAAGAACAACUGGAGGAGUCCAGGUGAUGUGGAUCCGCUUCUGAUGAC